UUUGGGAUCCUAGAUACCAUAAAGGGUGUUGGUUCAUUUGGACAGCAGGACGGUGGCCAUGGAAGUCGGAAUCUGCUAAGGAGUGCGUAACAACUCACCGGCCGAAUGAGCUGAUAAGGACAGGCAUAGGGCCAUG
Plasmopara halstedii is the source of this 136-nucleotide ribosomal RNA. It matches the Rfam family "Eukaryotic large subunit ribosomal RNA", at positions 1196 to 1337 of the family's 3401-position model. The record is from Rfam. NCBI's taxonomy places the organism in Eukaryota, Oomycota, Peronosporomycetes, Peronosporales, Peronosporaceae.